Molecule: transfer RNA, 64 nt
Filed under: Ochthebius puncticollis
Lineage: Eukaryota; Metazoa; Arthropoda; Insecta; Coleoptera; Hydraenidae
Description: tRNA-Phe
Source: RNAcentral
AUUUAAAUAGCUUAAAAAGAGCAUAAUAUUGAAGUUAUUAGAGUGACAUAAAUGUCUUUAAAUA